CACGGGAGGAUUCUGAGAAGAUACUUUUCAUCUUCUUUGCAGCUCGGCCUGUCUUAUAAUUCAGUUUUCAGUCCUAAUUUCCUGCACAGUGUGUCCUGGAGCUACAGAAGAGAAUUACUCCGAGGUUUCAUAGAAGCCCCUUGGUUUUUAAGGGAUAAAAAGACCAUAUUGGACUCUCUGCCUUUUUGUGACUGGAUCAUCAUGGUACAUCAGGAGUGCUGGUUUUAUGCUAAUCGCUCCGGCAUCAUCCAGGACAAGAUCAAGACCCUCCAAAAAGACCUUGACCUGUGGUUGGGCCUUGGGAGAUGGCUUCCUUAUCUCCUCCCCCUUGUGGGCCCCUUGCUCUCCAUUGUCCUUGUAAAUUUGUCCAAGAUCGCAUUGCUGCAGUCCAGUUAAUGGUGGUCAACAACAAUAUGCCACUCUUCAAGAACCGAGUUAUGCCGCUCUUUAAGCCCCAGAUUGGGAACCCUGUACAUCCGCCCAUGGCCACUGCCAAGAUAUAGAGGUAUAAUACCUCAUACCCUGAGUUGCUGAGGUGGUAGCCAAUGAUGGGUAAGAUCCCUGGGGCAGCCCUUAAC
This 578-nucleotide long non-coding RNA is filed under the name Oryctolagus cuniculus (rabbit). RNAcentral describes it as "lncRNA (ENSOCUG00000035328.1)". The record is from RNAcentral. Lineage: Eukaryota; Metazoa; Chordata; Mammalia; Lagomorpha; Leporidae.